This 497-nucleotide ribosomal RNA is filed under the name uncultured bacterium. RNAcentral's name for it is "partial 16S ribosomal RNA". It matches the Rfam family "Bacterial small subunit ribosomal RNA", at positions 28 to 507 of the family's 1533-position model. The record is from RNAcentral.
GAUGAACGCUGGCGGCGUGCCUAAUACAUGCAAGUCGAGCGAACAGACGAGGAGCUUGCUCCUCUGACGUUAGCGGCGGACGGGUGAGUAACACGUGGAUAACCUACCUAUAAGACUGGGAUAACUUCGGGAAACCGGAGCUAAUACCGGAUAAUAUAUUGAACCGCAUGGUUCAAUAGUGAAAGACGGUUUUGCUGUCACUUAUCGAUGGAUCCGCGCCGCAUUAGCUAGUUGGUAAGGUAACGGCUUACCAAGGCAACGAUUCGUAGCCGACCGGAGAGGGGGAUCGACGACACGAGAACUGAGACGCAAUCAAGACUCCUACGGGAGGCAGCAGUAGGGAAUCUUCCGCAAUAGGCGGAAGCUUGGAGGAGCAACACCGCGUGAGUGAUGGAGGUCUUCGGAUCGUAAAACUCUGUUAUUAGGGAAGAACAAAUGUGUAAGUAACUAUACACGUCUUGACGGUACCUAAUCAGAAAGCCACGGCUAACUACGUG